UAUGUGUCCUAAGAUAUUGGAAUUCAAA
RNAcentral lists this small RNA (28 nucleotides) under Bombyx mori (domestic silkworm). Its description in RNAcentral is "ovarian small RNA-24047". Lineage: Eukaryota; Metazoa; Arthropoda; Insecta; Lepidoptera; Bombycidae. The record is from RNAcentral.